GAGAUGUUAGUAAAACAAAUUACAUCACCUUGUCAAGGUGAAAUUAUGGGUUAAAGCCCCGUACACCUCC
This 70-nucleotide transfer RNA is filed under the name Rasbora borneensis. Its description in RNAcentral is "tRNA-Asp". It matches the Rfam family "tRNA". Rfam says of the family: Transfer RNA (tRNA) molecules are approximately 80 nucleotides in length. Their secondary structure includes four short double-helical elements and three loops (D, anti-codon, and T loops). Lineage: Eukaryota; Metazoa; Chordata; Actinopteri; Cypriniformes; Danionidae. The record is from RNAcentral.